This is a non-coding RNA of Betta splendens (Siamese fighting fish), 73 nucleotides long. The record is from the annotation of a RefSeq genome assembly. NCBI's taxonomy places the organism in Eukaryota, Metazoa, Chordata, Actinopteri, Anabantiformes, Osphronemidae.
CAAAGUGUAGCCAAACUAGAUAAAGCAUCUCUCUUACACUGAGAAGUUAUCCGUGCAAAUCGGAUCAUUUUGA